This 799-nucleotide long non-coding RNA is filed under the name Bos taurus (domestic cattle). RNAcentral's name for it is "long non-coding RNA NONBTAT026698". Lineage: Eukaryota; Metazoa; Chordata; Mammalia; Artiodactyla; Bovidae. The record is from RNAcentral.
UAAAUUGAUUUAAAAUAGGAAAACACAUUAUCUGAGAUCAUAGUAGGACAAUAGUUUUGAAUUGCAUUGUUAUGCAUAUGAAAUAAAUACACCCCUUCCCCAGGGUAUGUUCCCCAUUAUUAGCCAUUACAACCUACAGCUGUAGGUGGUCAAUAACUUGUUCUUUUUCCUGAGUACUGGAGCAGUACAUUAGCAGCAUCUGAGAAAAACACAAGAGCAAUUGUACAUUGGGAAGAGUUAGGUUUGCUGCCCUCACUCCUUGAGCCCCACCCUCCUCGCACCACCAGCCACACAUAUCCCUCCCCUUUAAGGGAUCUUAAGAAUCUUAAGAAUCAAGUCUUAAGAAUCAAGUAGCUUCUGCCUCUUUGUUUUAUUUCUUCUAGAGGGAUAGUUAACACAUCAUAAUUUAACUUGUCUAUUCAUGUGUUUAUAGUCGAGAUGCCGCUGGUCACAUACAGUACCAGCUAUAUUCCUAAGACGUCAGAGAGCAGUAGUAGUAUGAGAAUAGAAUUCUUUUCUACUUGGGUAAACUAGGUGGGAGGGAGAAAUAACACAGUAAAUAAAGGUUUUGCCUUAAUGAAGUUAGUGUUCCAGCCUCUUAGGAAGUGGCCACAUUCUGCUCUUGUUCACUCUGUUCUCUUUCAGAGCCUUUGUACUUUGCAUCAUCACUGCUGGUAUUUCUUGGUCCUCUUCAAUAUGCUGUUUUAAUCCUCAUUUUUCCUAUAAAGAACCUGUGAAAAGAAUAAAUCUGUAAAAUGAUUUGUGAAUAUUAAAUGUACAAAUAAAAAACACUGGAAAA